GGUACCUAUUUAUCUAGUUGUAUCUGCAGCAUCUGGUGGGUUGCCCCCAGUUCGCACCGGUUCUAUAGAACCGGUAGUAAAACCAGCGGGAGGCUCCGCCCACCGACCCCGAUGUUAUAAAAUGCUUCUGCGCAUGUGUGCGGCCCCAUUGCGAACUGGUAGUAAAGUGUUUGAAAUGACUUCUCUCCCACAACACCAUCACUAUUUCUCAUCCCCGAAUAGAUGCUAAUUUAUUUUUUUCUCUGCUAUCCCCUGUGUAUUCUACGUGCUAUUACACAGCGGCAUUGAGGAUAUGGGUACUUUAAAGCUCAUUUCAAUAAGGACUUGCCAGAGCCAUACUAUUAAUGAACCGUUAUGCUUAAUCUGCAUUAAACAGAUUUGCAAAAUAUG
This is a long non-coding RNA of Pantherophis guttatus, 390 nucleotides long. RefSeq lists it as uncharacterized. NCBI's taxonomy places the organism in Eukaryota, Metazoa, Chordata, Lepidosauria, Squamata, Colubridae. The record is from RefSeq and is a predicted model, not a curated record.